AUUGAGUGAAUAGUCUCCAAUUAUGGUGGUAUUAUUGAGCAUAGAUUAUGUUAGAUCAUGACAUGGGUCGAUCACAAGGCUUUGACUUUGUUACAUUUGACAAUGAAGAAGCUGCGGAUAAGAUAUUUACUGAUGGUCAACUACAUGAACUUGGAGGCAAAUAAGUUGAGAUAAAGAGGGCUGAGCCACAAAGGGUUGGCGUCAUUUUCUCAGACGACAAUCGUUUACGUCGUGGUGGUGCUUUCAAGUCAUUCUCAUGAUGAAAGAUGGUAUUGUUCCCAUGAAUGCAUCCUAUGGUGGCCAGAUUAGCCUGUAAUGAAGAAACUGGAAUUGCCGAGACAAGCUGGUGAGAUUGAUAUGUUCAUGAAAAUUCAGGUAUUUUUAUGCUAAAACCUCCAUUUAUGUAUAUACUUCAUUAUCGGUUUAAAUGGGCAUGGUUGGUAUAUGCUUUAUAUCAAAUUGGCCAGCAAUGAGAUGUUUUUGUAAAUGGAUGAUCAUAUGUGCUCUGCAUAUUCUUGACUUGCAUCUUAUUUUAUGGGUAGGAAAUAGAGAUUGAUGUAGGAUAGCUGCUGAUUAAGUGUUACUUUAGUUGGUUUAUUUUAUUUAUUAUUAUUGUUGCACCACAAAGUGUUCUGUUUGAUUAACCAGAUCUGACGUGAUAAACAAAACAAUUAGAUAAAAGACUAAAGAUAACCGGAUCAACCUGCAAAUCUUGAAGAGGUAACUACCGCUUUUGCCGGAUUGUUGAUGAAUCACCUCGCCCAAUUGGCUAUAUGUCUUUCAAAAUGGAUUGCUGACUUACGAUAAAGAGCGGCCUGCACCAGACUCAGGAAGGUGUAAGAUAUCCGAGAGUUAUUCCUCCGCAGAGCUGGCUUUCUGUGUUGCUGUUAUUGAUGCAGUUGAAGCCAAUACCUGGGUUUCUCCUGCUAAUUUAAACUGCAUCAAUCACAGUGUGUCCUAACAUAUACUGUCUUUAACAUUGUUUUAUAAAGAUAUGUAA
Long non-coding RNA from Helianthus annuus (common sunflower), 1000 nucleotides. RefSeq lists it as uncharacterized. The record is from RefSeq and is a predicted model, not a curated record. Lineage: Eukaryota; Viridiplantae; Streptophyta; Magnoliopsida; Asterales; Asteraceae. The transcript is spliced from 3 exons.